This 429-nucleotide ribosomal RNA is filed under the name bacterium. RNAcentral describes it as "partial 16S ribosomal RNA". It matches the Rfam family "Bacterial small subunit ribosomal RNA", at positions 355 to 776 of the family's 1533-position model. The record is from RNAcentral.
UGGGGAAUUUUGUACAAUGGGCGAAAGCCUGAUCCAGCAAUGCCGCGUGUGUGAAGAAGGCCUUCGGGUUGUAAAGCACUUUUGUCCGGAAAGAAAUGGCUCUGGUUAAUACCUGGGGUCGAUGACGGUACCGGAAGAAUAAGGACCGGCUAACUACGUGCCAGCAGCCGCGGUAAUACGUAGGGUCCAAGCGUUAAUCGGAAUUACUGGGCGUAAAGCGUGCGCAGGCGGUUGUGCAAGACCGAUGUGAAAUCCCCGAGCUUAACUUGGGAAUUGCAUUGGUGACUGCACGGCUAGAGUGUGUCAGAGGGGGGUAGAAUUCCACGUGUAGCAGUGAAAUGCGUAGAGAUGUGGAGGAAUACCGAUGGCGAAGGCAGCCCCCUGGGAUAACACUGACGCUCAUGCACGAAAGCGUGGGGAGCAAACAGG